UUCUUAUCCAGAGAGGUGGAGGGACUGGCCCUUUGAAGCCUCGGCAGCGGACUUUUUUAAGUACUGUGCCAAUUCCAGUAGCGUAAGGCUAGAAGAUAAGAA
RNAcentral lists this non-coding RNA (102 nucleotides) under Heyndrickxia sporothermodurans. Its description in RNAcentral is "Bacillus sporothermodurans SAM-I sequence". It matches the Rfam family "SAM riboswitch aptamer (S box leader)". Rfam says of the family: The SAM riboswitch is found upstream of a number of genes which code for proteins involved in methionine or cysteine biosynthesis in Gram-positive bacteria. The SAM riboswitch acts at the level of transcription termination control. The predicted structure consists of a complex stem-loop region followed by a single stem loop terminator region. The record is from Rfam by way of RNAcentral. Lineage: Bacteria; Bacillati; Bacillota; Bacilli; Caryophanales; Bacillaceae.